AUUCUUUUUUGGUUCAUAAGUGUGAUGAUUGGGUAUUCACGGCUUUGUGUGACAUGUGCCUCCCUCAAGCCUUGGUAUGACAUUGGCACAUUACCUGUCUGACA
RNAcentral lists this small nucleolar RNA (104 nucleotides) under Castor canadensis (American beaver). Its description in RNAcentral is "Small nucleolar RNA U13 (ENSCCNG00000019297.1)". It matches the Rfam family "Small nucleolar RNA U13". The record is from Rfam by way of RNAcentral. Lineage: Eukaryota; Metazoa; Chordata; Mammalia; Rodentia; Castoridae.